AGAUGAGGAAGGGCGUAGUAAGCGACGAAAUGCUUUGGGGAGUUGAAAAUAAGCGUAGAUUCGGGGAUUCCCGAUAUAGGUAAACCUUUCGAAUUGCUGUUGAAUCCUCGGGUAGGCAAGAGACAAACUGGUGAACUGAAACAUCUUAGUAGCCAGAGGAAAAGAAAGCAAAAGCAAUUCCCGUAGUAGUGGCGAGCGAAAUGGGAGUAGCCUAAACCGUGAAAACGGGUCCUAGCCGUAAACGAUGGAUACUA
Molecule: non-coding RNA, 254 nt
Filed under: Glycine max (soybean)
Lineage: Eukaryota; Viridiplantae; Streptophyta; Magnoliopsida; Fabales; Fabaceae
Description: Bacterial large subunit ribosomal RNA
Rfam family: Bacterial large subunit ribosomal RNA
Source: Rfam by way of RNAcentral